GCUUGUCUCAAAGAUUAAGCCAUGCAUGUCUCAGUAUAAGUUCCUGUACGGCGAAACUGCGAAUGGCUCAUUAAAACAGUUACAGUUUAUUUGAUUGUCAUUUCUUACAUGGAUAACUGUGGUAAUUCUAGAGCUAAUACAUGCGCCCAAACCCGACUCCGUGGAAGGGUUGUGUUUAUUAGUUACAGAACCAACCCAGGCUCUGCCUGGUCUUGUGGUGAUUCAUAAUAACCGAAUGAAUCGCAUUGCAUCAGCUGGCGAUGAAUCAUUCAAGUUUCUGACCUAUCAGCUUUCGACGGUAGGGUAUGGGCCUACCGUGGCAAUGACGGGUAACGGAGAAUUAGGGUUCGAUUCCGGAGAGGGAGCCUGAGAAACGGCUACCACAUCUAAGGAAGGCAGCAGG
RNAcentral lists this ribosomal RNA (403 nucleotides) under Theleodinium calcisporum. RNAcentral describes it as "partial small subunit ribosomal RNA". It matches the Rfam family "Eukaryotic small subunit ribosomal RNA", at positions 30 to 432 of the family's 1831-position model. Lineage: Eukaryota; Dinophyceae. The record is from RNAcentral.